AUUACGGUACUACGCCACUCCCCUUCUUCUCUAUGAAGAAGACUCGUUCAAUUUCAGAUUCACCGUUCUUUCCAGUGGCAUGCGUCUCUUGUUCACCUUCGCCUUCUCCAAGAUGAUGCCCGCCUUCAAGCAGGACUUUCAUUCCAGAUUACUGAAGAGAGCUUGCGAAAUGCUUCGAUCAACUCGUAUAAGUUAAUUUGGCGAUGGAUAAGGUAGCCGAUUGACCAAGAGGAUUUGCCUUCCUCCGUUAUGCUACUGAAGAGGAAUCUCAAAAAGCUAUUGAAAGAAUGCACCGCCAGGUAAUUUAAAACCUCCAUCUCUGCAAUCUCCACUCUGCCUAACCUCUUACAAAUGCGUUUAGUCUUCAUAAUUUAUAUUUUUGUUGACUUAAUCGCCAAAAUUCACUUGAUGCUCAAAGUGUGCGUCGCGAAGUGAUGUCUCAUUUGAAUUAGCCAAUCUUAAUGCUCUUUUCUUAUUCACUGUGAUUUUGUAAUGAAUGUGAUUCGCUGUCCACAAGUA
Long non-coding RNA from Cucurbita pepo subsp. pepo (vegetable marrow), 519 nucleotides. RefSeq lists it as uncharacterized. NCBI's taxonomy places the organism in Eukaryota, Viridiplantae, Streptophyta, Magnoliopsida, Cucurbitales, Cucurbitaceae. The record is from RefSeq and is a predicted model, not a curated record.